GAUGAACGCUGGCGGCGUGCCUAAUACAUGCAAGUCGAGCGAACGGACGAGAAGCUUGCUUUUCUGAUGUUAGCGGCGGACGGGUGAGUAACACGUGGAUAACCUACCUAUAAGACUGGGAUAACUUCGGGAAACCGGAGCUAAUACCGGAUAAUAUUUUGAACCGCAUGGUUCAAAAGUGAGAGACGGUCUUGCUGUCACUUAUAGAUGGAUCCGCGCUGCAUUAGCUAGUUGGUAAGGUAACGGCUUACCAAGGCAACGAUGCAUAGCCGACCUGAGAGAGUGAUCGGCCACACUGGAACUGAGACACGGUCCAGACUCCUACGGGAGGCAGCAGUAGGGAAUCUUCCGCAAUGGGCGAAAGCCUGACGGAGCAACGCCGCGUGAGUGAUGAAGGUCUUCGGAUCGUAAAACUCUGUUAUUAGGGAAGAACAUAUGUGUAAGUAACUGUGCACAUCUUGACGGUACCUAAUCAGAAAGCCACGGCUAACUACGUG
This 497-nucleotide ribosomal RNA is filed under the name uncultured bacterium. Its description in RNAcentral is "partial 16S ribosomal RNA". It matches the Rfam family "Bacterial small subunit ribosomal RNA", at positions 28 to 507 of the family's 1533-position model. The record is from RNAcentral.